This 440-nucleotide ribosomal RNA is filed under the name uncultured bacterium. Its description in RNAcentral is "partial 16S ribosomal RNA". It matches the Rfam family "Bacterial small subunit ribosomal RNA", at positions 338 to 795 of the family's 1533-position model. The record is from RNAcentral.
CCUACGGGAGGCUGCAGUGGGGAAUAUUGCACAAUGGGGGCAACCCUGAUGCAGCGACGCCGCGUGAGUGAAGAAGUAAUUCGUUAUGUAAAGCUCUAUCAGCAGGGAGGAAAAUGACGGUACCUGAGUAAGAAGCCCCGGCUAACUACGUGCCAGCAGCCGCGGUAAUACGUAGGGGGCAAGCGUUAUCCGGAGUGACUGGGUGUAAAGGGAGCGUAGACGGCAGUGCAAGUCUGGAGUGAAAGGCGGGGGCUCAACCCCCGGACUGCUCUGGAAACUGUACGGCUGGAGUGCAGGAGAGGUAAGUGGAAUUCCUAGUGUAGCGGUGAAAUGCGUAGAUAUUAGGAGGAACACCAGUGGCGAAGGCGGCUUACUGGACUGUAACUGACGUUGAGGCUCGAAAGCGUGGGGAGCGAACAGGAUUAGAUACCCCUGUAGUC